Molecule: ribosomal RNA, 853 nt
Filed under: Malaconothrus sp. A3
Lineage: Eukaryota; Metazoa; Arthropoda; Arachnida; Sarcoptiformes; Malaconothridae
Description: SSU rRNA
Rfam family: Eukaryotic small subunit ribosomal RNA
Source: RNAcentral
AUAGGCGAACCGCGAAUGGCUCAUUAAAUCAGUUACGGUUCCUUAGAUGUUGACUAUCUACAUGGAUAACUGUGGUAAUUCUAGAGCUAAUACAUGCACAAAAGCUUCGACCUUUAAGGAAGAAGCGCAUUUAUUAGACCAAGACCAAUGGGGUUCUUCACGGGACUCCUAAAUGUGGUGACUCUGGAUAACUGUUGCUAAUCGCAUGGCCUAUGUGCCGGCGAUGAAUCUUUCAAGUGUCUGCCUUAUCAACUGUCGAUGGUAGGUUAUGCGCCUACCAUGGUUGUAACGGGUAACGGGGAAUCAGGGUUCGAUUCCGGAGAGGGAGCCUGAGAAACGGCUACCACAUCCAAGGAAGGCAGCAGGCACGCAAAUUACCCAAUCCCAGAACGGGGAGGUAGUGACGAAAAAUAACAAUACGGGACUCUUAUGAGGCCCCGUAAUUGGAAUGAGAACAAUCUAAAUCCUUUAACGAGGAUCUAUUGGAGGGCAAGUCUGGUGCCAGCAGCCGCGGUAAUUCCAGCUCCAAUAGCGUAUAUUAAAGUUGUUGUGGUUAAAAAGCUCGUAGUUGGAUCUCAGUUCGAGUCAGGCGGUCCACUUGCCAGUGGUUACUACUUGACUGAACACUUUAUCGAGUUGUCCUAUGGUGCUCUUCACCGAGUGUCAUAGGCGAUCGGUACGUUUACUUUGAAAAAAUUAGAGUGCUCAAAGCAGGCGUAACGCCCGAAUAAUGUUGCAUGGAAUAAUGGAAUAGGACCUCGGUUCUAUUUUGUUGGUCUUCGGAAUCUGAGGUAAUGAUUAAGAGGGACAGACGGGGGCAUUCGUAUUGCGGCGCUAGAGGUGAAAUUCUGAC